AACCAUAGGCCAUGAAUCUGGUCUUGGGACACUGUCAGGUGGGCAGUUUGACUGGGGCGGUCGCCUCCCAAAAGGUAACGGAGGCGCUCAAAGGUUCUCUCAGUACGGUCGGAAAUCGUACGUAGAGUGUAAAGGCAAAAGAGAGCUUGAUUGCAAGACAUACAGGUCGAGCAAGGAUGAAAAUCGGACUUAGUGAUCCGGUGGUUCUGCGUGGAAGGGCCAUCGCUCAACGGAUAAAAGCUACCCUGGGGAUAACAGGCUUAUCUCCCCCAAGAGUCCACAUCGACGGGGAGGUUUGGCACCUCGAUGUCGGCUCAUCACAUCCUGGGGCUGUAGUAGGUCCCAAGGGUUGGGCUGUUCGCCCAUUAAAGUGGUACGCGAGCUGGGUUCAGAACGUCGUGAGACAGUUCGGUCCCUAUCCGUCGCAGGCGUAGGAAAUUUGAGGAGACCUGUCCUUAGUACGAGAGGACCGGGAUGGACGUACCUCUGGUGUACCAGUUGUUCUGCCAAGGGCAUGGCUGGGUAGCUAUGUACGGAAUGGAUAAGCGCUGAAAGCAUCUAAGCGCGAAGCCAACUUCAAGAUAAGAUUUCCCACCGCAAGGGUAAGACCCCAGAAAGACUAUCUGGUUGAUAGGUCGAAGGUGUAAGUGCAGCAAUGUAUUUAGCUUAUCGAUACUAAUAGGUCGAGGACUUGACCAA
This 699-nucleotide ribosomal RNA is filed under the name Clostridioides sp. ZZV14-6104. RNAcentral describes it as "partial 23S ribosomal RNA". It matches the Rfam family "Bacterial large subunit ribosomal RNA", at positions 2223 to 2925 of the family's 2925-position model. The record is from RNAcentral. Lineage: Bacteria; Bacillati; Bacillota; Clostridia; Peptostreptococcales; Peptostreptococcaceae.